Molecule: ribosomal RNA, 518 nt
Filed under: uncultured bacterium
Lineage: Bacteria
Description: partial 16S ribosomal RNA
Rfam family: Bacterial small subunit ribosomal RNA
Source: RNAcentral
ACUCAAAUGAAUUGACGGGGGCUCACACAAGCGGUGGAGCAUGUGGCUUAAUUCGAGGCUACGCGAAGAACCUUAUCCUGGGCUUGACAUGUGCGAAAGCGGCAGGGAGUAGGCGCCUGAAAGGGUUGCCCAACGGUAUCCAGUCCGGAACCUGCUACAGGUGCUGCAUGGCUGUCGUCAGCUCGUGUCGUGAGAUGUCGGGUUAAGUCCCAUAACGAGCGAAACCCUUGUCCCCAGUUGCUACCCGCAAGGGAGGACUCUGGGGAGACUGCCGGUGUUAAACCGGAGGAAGGUGGGGAUGACGUCAAGUCCUCAUGGCCUUUAUGCCCAGGGCUGCACACGUGCUACAAUGGCGCGAACAAAGGGAUGCAAACUUGCAAAAGGGAGCCAAUCCCAAAAAACGCGCCCCAGUUCAGAUCGAAGGCUGCAACUCGCCUUCGUGAAGUUGGAAUCGCUAGUAAUCGCGGGUCAGCAACACCGCGGUGAAUGUGUUCCUGAGCCUUGCACACACCGCCCGU